GUUUAGUUCAGAUUCACGUAGUAUCUUUUUCUGUCAUUUGUGGUUAGGUUUCUAUAGGGCUUCUCUAGGCUUCUUCCUUACUAUUCAUUACUGUUGAAUAUGUUUUGAUAAUGUUUAUUAAUAUUGGUACCUAAUUGUGCUAAUUAUAGUAGUCGGGGCGGAGGCAGACGCCGGCGAUACGAGGGAGAAGAUUACGGCCCCAGAGUGAAGCGCUUGAGAGGGCCGCCCAACUUCAGGGGCAGAACAGAGAAGUCAGCUUCCUACACACGUGAGAGAGUAAGAGAGAGAUCACCAGUGUACCGCAGUGUUCCUCGAAGAGAGAGUGCCACAUACAACGGCACAAGUAGCCACAAAUUGGAAUCCUCUUUUCAGACAUAUCAGGACUUCAUGAGAGAGAUGCGGGAUUUCCACUCCCGUGCACCAAGUAACCUUCCUCCCAUGGCCUUCCCACCUCCCCCACCAUUUGACCCUAUCGGACCCCCAAGAUACUAUGAUGGACCUCCACUGCCCGAGUAUCCAUCGUCCCGCUCACGCUCAGAAAAGAGACAGUCUGCUGACCCAUAUGACAGAAGUGUCGAUGAAUUCCUGCAAAGAACCCGAGACAGGCGAGAACGGAGCAGGGAACGUCGAUAUGAGAGAAGAUAAACAGGAACCAGAAAGAACAUUAUCUAAGUCAAAUUCUUUUUUAACUUAGGAAUGAACUCAUAAGGAAAAUAUUAUUUAGUAAGAAGAGUACUCUGUGAAACUGAUCAUAUUUUUGGAAUUUACACAAGCUUGUAGAAGAAAAUGUAUCAAACUCUAUUCAGAUCUUAGCAUCAUAAAUGCUUCCAAAGGGUAUUUUGGAUAGCUACCUCACUAACUUUUACCUCUGCUAGACCCAGUUCCUUAAAUCUGGGUCUGGAUUCUGAAAUAUUAAAAGUGGAAAAAGAGAAAAAUAAAGAGUCGAUUCUUACCAAGGACACAUGCAAUACUAAAACAUUGUAUCAGAAGUAAUCCAGUGUUCUGUUGUGUUGCUAUACAGUUUUUAAUACAGAUUGAAUGUGAGUAUGUGUGUGCAUGCAUUUAUGUUUGUUGUAUGAGAGAAUUUAUUUUGUAUAGCAAUAUUUCUGUGCAUACAUGUUCAUAAAGCAGAACACUUUUUGUUUUUAGUGCACCUUGAUCAGCAAUGAUCUUGUCAGAUCAGUAUUAACAUGAUAUUCUAUCUUGUUUGGUAUUAUCAGUAUAUUAUUAUUUGGAAUAUAUAUUUUUGUUUACCAUUUCAAUUUCCAGUAUCUGCUAAUAGAAAUUGAAGGUGAUAGUAAAAUGUAUGCAUUCAAAAUUAGUUUCAAUAAAGAUGUAAGAAAACUGUUUCAUUUCACAAUAUGGGCAUUUUUCUUCAAAAUGGUAUGAAGACUUUUGUAUUAUUGACUUGAAAGAUGUCAAAUGUAGAGUAGUAUCUAAAAUAAUGUACUUAAGUCUUCAUCUUAAAGCAGGGGACCUCUAAUAGAGUGCCUUUUCUGCAUGUACAAGGUACUGGUACUUUGAUUUGCUUAUAAUUCUUCAAGAGCAAGUGAUUCAUUGUCAGUUUUACAUUAAAUAGUUUCAUGAGUAUUGUAGAAGCCAUUUUACAUGACUGCAGAUGCCAUCAAGAGGGCAAUAUUUAUAAUGUUUUACAAGUAUGUUUAAAUGGUAAUUGGUAACUAGAUGUAAUUAGACUUGCAAUUUUUUAGUAAUGUCAAGUUUAUUUUAUUUUUUGCCUUGUCUGAUAAUGCACCAUUGGCUUCUAACUACCUCAGUGGCAGGCUUAUAGGGCACUGUCUUUUUACCUUCAUAAGAAGAUUGUACCUACAUUGAAGAGCAUUGUAAAUAAUAUUGUUCAGCUUAUAAAGAUUCAUUGAAAAGCACAGUAUAAAAAAGACUUGGUCUUAUUUUUGUAGGACUCCUGCCCUUUAGUGUGAGGUUUCUCAAGAAAAGAACUUAUUUUUACUGUUCUCAUUGAUACCCAAUAACAUUUAAGAUUUUCAUAUUUUGAUGACUUCUGUAGUUCAGAAUGCAAGGCGUUGAAGAACAAGACUUUCAUAUUUUGAUGACUUCUGUAGUAUGGAAUGUAAAAAAAUUGGCAUGAUCAGUACAAAUAAAAUUUGCUUUACUUUCAUUAUAUACAUUCAUGUAUCUACUUUUUGUAUUGUGAAAGUAAUUGUAUUUGUUUCUGUUAGUGCAGUCUGUGCUAUUAAAGCAAUUAUUAAAAAUAAA
Long non-coding RNA from Penaeus indicus, 2232 nucleotides. RefSeq lists it as uncharacterized. The record is from RefSeq and is a predicted model, not a curated record. NCBI's taxonomy places the organism in Eukaryota, Metazoa, Arthropoda, Malacostraca, Decapoda, Penaeidae. The transcript is spliced from 5 exons.